AUACGAACAAUGCAAACCCACUCU
RNAcentral lists this non-coding RNA (24 nucleotides) under Arabidopsis thaliana (thale cress). Lineage: Eukaryota; Viridiplantae; Streptophyta; Magnoliopsida; Brassicales; Brassicaceae. The record is from RNAcentral.